AGUUUUGCACAGUGGCAGUAUUGCAGCCAACGAGAUUUAUCCGAGGUGUGAUUAUUGCUAAUUGAAAACUUUUCCCAAUACCCCGCCAUGAUGACUUGUAAUAUAGUCAGCAUUGGCAAUUUUUGAUGGUCACUACGAGGA
Lemur catta (Ring-tailed lemur) is the source of this 141-nucleotide small nuclear RNA. RefSeq annotates it as U4 spliceosomal RNA. The record is from RefSeq and is a predicted model, not a curated record. NCBI's taxonomy places the organism in Eukaryota, Metazoa, Chordata, Mammalia, Primates, Lemuridae. The transcript has a single exon.